This is a long non-coding RNA of Alligator sinensis (Chinese alligator), 758 nucleotides long. RefSeq lists it as uncharacterized. The record is from RefSeq and is a predicted model, not a curated record. The transcript has 3 exons. NCBI's taxonomy places the organism in Eukaryota, Metazoa, Chordata, Crocodylia, Alligatoridae.
UGGGAAGUCAGUCCAGCUGGGCUGACUUCCCAUCCCCCAUGAUAGAUCGGGCUGGGGGCAGGGAGUCAGUCCAGCCCGAUCUAGUGUGGGGGAUAGGAAGCCAGCUCAGCACAAUGGAAUCAAAAGGCCCAUCGCCUAUGUAAGUUGAAUACCACUGGAAGGAGGUAUGCUACCAUCGAAAGAGAAUGUUUGGUUAUUAAACGGGCCAUAGAGUACUUUAGGUACUAUCUUAUGGACUGAGAGUUCCACUUAAUAAGAGAUCAUGCCCCUCUUCAAUGGUUCUGUAAAGCGAAAAUGGAUAACACUUAAAUUACUAGGUGGGCAUUAGCAUUGCAGCCAUUCAAAUUUUCCAUCAGCCUGGUCCUGCUAAUAAGGUUGCAGAUUUCUUAUCUAGGUGCACAGAUCCAGAUACCCAACAGGAGGAGGUACACCCAGAAGAAGGGAAGAAUAAAGAAAGAAAUAACAUUUGUAAAGAAUGGUAAUUUUGCAACUUUACAGAGUGUGAACCACAGAGAUUAGUCAAGAUGAAUGCUGCCUGCCAGACCAUCCCCCCAAACUAUGAAGCGUCCCUGGUGAUAUAGAGAACACUAUGGACAUCGGAGAUUGAACAUUUUCAAUAUUGACAGUAAAGAAGCCUAAAGUAUAUAAAAAUUCCAAAGUUUGAAAUUGUGUCAGUUGUUUUUUCUUUCACAGAUUGCAUUUCGGGGGUGGGUGGGGUCAGUUGGGAAAAGUGCUGACCACACCUGUAGCAGAAAGCC